GUGGCAGCCGCCGCGGUAAUACCGGCGCCCCAAGUGGUAGUCGCUUUUAUUGGGCCUAAAAUGUCCGUAGCCGGUCUGGUACAUUCGUGGGUAAAUCAACCAGCUCAACUGGUUGAAUUCUGCGAGCACGGCCAGACUUGGGACCGGGAGAGGUGUGGGGUACUCUCAGGGUAGGGGUAAAAUCCUGUCAUCCUGAGAGGACCACCUGUUGCGAAGGCGCCACACUAGAACGGAUCCGACGGUCAGGGACGAAGCCUAGGGGCACGAACCGGAUUAGAUACCCGGGUAGUCCUAGGUGUGAACGCUGUGGACUUGAUGUUGGGGGCGCUCCGAGCGCACUCAGUGUCGAAGCGAAGGUGAUAAGUCCACUGCCUGGGGAGUACGGUCGCAAGGCUGAAACUUAAAGGAAUUGGCGGGGGAGCACCGCAACCUGAGGAUUGUGCGGUUUAAUUGGAUUCAACGCCGGAAAACUCACCAUAGCCGACGGACAUAUGAAGGCCAGCGUAACGAGCUUGCCGGAUUGUUCGAGAGGUAGUGCAUGGCCGUCGUCAGUUCGUACCGCAAGGCGUUCUGUUAAGUCAGAUAACGAACGAGACCCUCAUCCCUAUUUGCUAACCCGAUCUCCGGAUCAGGCGCACUAUAGGGAGACCGCUGGCGCGAAGUCAGAGGAAGGCGAGGGCAACGGUAGGUCAGUAUGCUCCGAAUGCUAUGGGCUACACGCGCAAUACAAAGGACGGGACAAUGGGCUGCUGCUCCGAAAGGAACGAUGGCUAUCCCGAAACCCGUUCGUAGUUCGGAUUGAGGGCUGUAACUCGCCCUCAUGAAGCUGGAUUAGGUAGUAAUCGCGUCUCAAAAAGGCGCGGUGAAUAUGCCCCUGCUCCUUGCACACACCGCCCGUC
RNAcentral lists this ribosomal RNA (899 nucleotides) under uncultured archaeon. RNAcentral's name for it is "bacterial SSU rRNA". It matches the Rfam family "Archaeal small subunit ribosomal RNA", at positions 455 to 1354 of the family's 1478-position model. The record is from RNAcentral.